CCACCCCAUCCUUCUAAGCCAGGUACCUCAGGUGUUGUGGAGAAGUGGCUUGAAUGUCAGACUUGUUUGCCGUGGAGCCUUCUUCGGGAAGCAGCCAAAUGUAAGGUGGAAACCCUGGUGGGAGGGGAGGAUUUUAGCCAGACUCCCGGGGAGGCCCACAGAAUAUUCCUAAAAUCCACCUGGAUUCCUAGUUCUGCCCACUGGGAGGAAACUUGCAUUCCCUCAAACUCUUAAGUAAAUUGUGACCUGGUGAAUAAUUAACUUCACCCUCCUGACUUUUUUUUGGGGGGGGGGGAGAAAAAAAUCCCAACCUGUGAAAAAUUAGAGAUCAGUUUUUGUCCAGCAGGAUUUGGAUGACAAAGGAGGUAUUGGGCCUCUCUCAUCUUCACUCCAGAUCGUAGCACCUUCCUUCCAGGGUUUCCUUGGCGUCUGCUCCUAUAGGGCCUCUGAGCUGCUUCCCCAAGUCGCCUUCGGUGCCCCUUUGCCCAAAGCCGCCCCUUUGCCCAAAGCCGAACUCUGCGAACCCUCUGUCACUGAGGAUUCUUUAUGAAGCUGCAGCAGCAGGCCCCCUACGUUGUCCCGGGACAGCUUGGCCCUUGCUACUGUGAGAGUUGAUUCUGCUGCCAGGCUGGUUUGCGGCUCUGUGUGAACUGGUAAAUAUUUGGCCAGUCUUAGCUCUUUUAUACAAAAGCACUGUGCUCCUUAUCUGUGAUAAGUCCCUGAAAGAGAGUUGUCUCCGAAGCGAGGGAUCAGUUUGGUUUCCAGGAGGGAUUUUUGUCUCGUAGCCCAGUGUGGGAACCGCGAAGGUGGACUUGGGGUCCUGCUGUGCUUCGGUUGAGCCCUAACUGCCACUUGCCAGCUGAGUGGCCUUUGACAAGUGAUUUCUCUGUGCCCCAGUGUUUUCCGUCGUGAAAUGAGGGUUAUGAUACUUACCAUGUAAGGUUGUGGUGAGGUUUAGAUGAAAAAGUACACAUACAGUGCCUGGCACAACUGGUAGUUGUCGUUCCUCGCAUCUCAUCUAAUUUUGGAGUCUGCGUGGGUAUAUUUCUUGGUAGAGAGGGGUGCAGAGUGGUUAAAAUCUCAGGUCUGGUAAGUCCGAAUGCCACCUCCAUUGCUUGCUAGCCACGUGGACUUGGGCAAGCUACUUAAGUCACUGGGGACAACAGCUUCCUCAUCGUUCAAAACCAAUUGCCUUUGAGUCAGCUCUGACUUAUGGCGACCCCAUGUAUGUCAGAAUAGAACUCUGCUUCAUAGGGUUUUUCGUGGCUAAUUUUUCAGACGUGAGAUUGCCAGGCCUUUCUUCUGGUGCACCUCUGGGUGGACUCGGACCUCCAACCUUUGAUUUGCGGCUGAGCCUGUUAACUGUUUGCACCACCCAGGGACUCUUCAUGAUCAUUAGGCAGAGAUAAUACUUGGGAGCCCCUUCCCCUGUCUAAAUCUGUUUUUGUUGUCUACCAACUAUGUGCCAGGGACUGGGCCAGGCUGGGCUGGGGUAAAACUAGCAUGGCUUGUUGCUGCCUACCCUGACUUUUACUCCAGCGCAGAAAGUCCUCACUUUAUAGUUGAGGCUGAGACACAUCCAGGAAAGGCUUCUCCCAGGAUCUCACAGCUGGCCUUUGGUGUACCAGGGACAAUACCCCAAGCCUUUUGGGUGCAGCUGGGCCUCCCAGGUUCAGAGCCAGCAAGCAUGAGCUGUAGAACAGGAGGUGGAUUGGUCUAGAUUAGCAGCACAGAGCCUUUAAAGAGGAGCCCUGGGCUUGCAGAUGUGGCUGCCUCACACAUCUGCUGUGCACUGCCUCCAGCCCAAAAGGCCCACAGACUCCACAUUUCAUGAAAGGCCCCCAGGAAAGGUGACUUUUCUACAGCCUUUCUAGGCUUGCCCGCUCCCUAACCAAGUUAAACAUACUCUAGUGGGACCAGCCAAGCAGGGGCAAAAUUGAAGGGGAUGAAGGGUAGGAUUUGAUAUUCAGAAAAAUGCUGCAAAGUAGUCAUCCUGGGUGGGGGGGGGGGAUCAGAAUUUUGCUGGACUCCCCUGUCCUUUUUUGUGGCUCAGUUUUUAUUUUUAGUUUCAAACUGGAGGUGUGGGUAGACCAUCAUGUUUUCAGAGCUUACCAGCCUUUAGUAGUCCUGACUGGCAGCGGGCAGGGCUUAGGAAGUUUCUGCGAUUCUGCGAGACUCCGAGCAGGUGACUUCUCACCCGCUUUGUGUGCUUCCUCCCUUUGGCACGGUCUGGGGAAUUUUGAAGUCACCCUGUAGCUAGACCCCUUGGCAUCUGCUGCCCAGGAGAACUGGGCAGAGAGGUGCUGGGUGGAAAGAACCAUCACCCGAUUUUCAUCACAGCCCUGCCACUCAGGGUCUCAGAGCCCCUUCUCUGUCAGGUGGGGGAUUGGACUGAGUAGAGACUGUGCACCCCCUUGUAGCCUGAAAAUUCUUCUAACAUUCUGAGCCAGGAGGCGUAGAGGAGGAAACAGGGUUGGAACCUGGGGCUGUGGUUUGUAGGGGUGGGAGGAGGUGGGGGAAGGACUCAGAGAUGUGCAGCUGGGAAAUUUGGAUCAGUCUAUGAGAGACUUUGUGGUUCAUUCUCAUGAAACUUGCUUCCUCUCACUGGAUUUCUGCCCUGGGGUAUGUGUGGUUCACGGGAACACGCUGGUUUCUCCUCCUUGGUGACUGAGGCUUAAAUUCUGGGCCCCUAAGCAAAUAUUUAAGAAAAAAUUCUCUAUCUUGUUUUCUCUAAGUCUGUUGUAAAGUAGACCUAUUCCCUGUCCUCUGGAAAGUGUUAAAUUGCAUCACUACUCAUUUGCUGAUAGCACGGGGCUUUCUGAGAGACUGGUCUAAGGCAGAAAACGUUUUUCUGCAUCAUGGAAUGGGUGUUGGCUUUGGAGCCAGGAACCUGACUCUCCCACGAACUCACUAGGUGACCUCGGGUGAGUGAAGCACCUUCCUGAGACUCAGUUUCCCCAUCCGUAAUAAUACAUGCCCACCUUGCAGGGCAUUCAGAGGAUUGAAUGGGAAUGUGAGUGUGAACUCCAGGCACGUGGUGGCCCUGUGGUAGUGGCACCAUGGUAGCUGUUCUCAGGUAACACCAUAGUUCAUCCCAGGGCCUGUGUGGCUGGUGAGCAAACCUCAGUGAAGUCAAGGAAGGAAGACCUGGCCUGGCCAGCCCAGGUGCUGGUUAAUGUCUGGAGAGAAAAAAACACUAGAAGAAAGGUGAGUCCUUGCUGGAGUUGCGGUGGAGGUUCCUGCUUCUCCAGGGGCACCUGUCUGAUACAACUUGAGAGAAGCAGUGGGUAGAGAUGGGGGGCCAGUCAGACACCCCUAACUUUUCCAGGAGUACGUUCAUAUGGUCACUGCAUUCAAACCCAUCUGAGGGGACAGGUUAGUGGGAGACAUUCUUCUGAAUUCCAUUUUAUUGGGCUUGCUGCAUGGGCUUAAGAACAUGAGGAAAAAAAAAACACACACACACACAUUAAGAAAAUGUGUUUUUGUUCUUGGAACUUUGAGUUAGAGUAAGCAGAUACUUGGAACCAGGGCUUAUGUAUAAGCAAAAUGUUGAUCUCCAAAUAGCUGGGCCAGACCACUGUAUAGCUGGGAAAAGUCAGCACAAUGACUUGGUCCCAGCUAGUUGGUGUGGGGGGCUCACUUCUCCCCUGGCCUGAGACACACACUCCUCCUGUAUCUAGUGAUAGUGAGCGUUCCAUGUCGCUCAGGUCUGGGCUCAUGUUAACCCUGGCCAAAUUGUUCAAUAUUAAAACAUCUGGCAAAAUACCAUGUUGCGACAAUGAACCUUUUCUGUAUAGGAGGGGCAAGAGGAGGGCAGCCCUGGGGUGCUGAAAAACCACUUAGGCACUGACAGUUGGAAAGGGGCAGGGUCUGCAAUCCUGACUGUGAAUGUAAGGGGUGGUGAUGGUUCAGGGGGGCAGCUUCUUAAAAUAGAAGGAGGCCUGGGAACCAGCUCCCAGUUUCUAGAGCCCACUUGGGGCAGAGGGGAGGGGGCUGCUGCCAACCUAUCUUGGCAUUCUCCCUUUCGUCCAUUUGGUAGAUUUUGUUUUAAUUAGACAAGUCGUGACAAAUAUCCCAUUAGUCUUUGGGCCAGAGAGUUGUGAGGAGCCCUGCCUGGAAACCCAGCCUCACUCACUUGGGAGCCAUAAUUAGGCAAGAGAACAGUUCACGGGCCCUUGAUUCAAUAAAGACCCUUUCAUGAUGUUGGUUUUUCCCAGAAAAAUAAUACCACUUUGCUCCGUUUAUUGCGUUUCGAUGUGUAAUCACAUUAGAACUAAGUAGCCCAGGGGAUUGCAGUUACGUAGUUGGGGUUUUCACCAAAGCCUGUUACCCGGUCUUCAGAGAAAAAAGUAUCCUCAGAAAAAAAGAAAAUGACAAGGAAUGUUUCUGAGGAUUUUUCUCUCUUGGCAUAUGUGAUGGUUAAUGAUAUGUGUCAACUUGACUGGGCCACGAAUAUCAGUAUUUUAUAAUUAUCCUCCAUUUUGUGAUUUGAUGUAAGGGGAGUUUUCUUGGGGGUGUGGCCUGCAUCCAAUAUAUGUGGACAUUCUGGCAAAGCUCACUUGCUCUUGAUCCUGCAUCUGACGGGUCAUCCUCUGACCUCUGGUUCUCGGAAUCUGAGCCAGCAGCCUGCCGCCUGACCUAUGGAUUUUGGGAUUCUCCAGCUCUCGUAACCCUUUGAGCCAGCAGCCUUCCACCUGACCUGCCCCUAUGACCACAUGAGUCAGGAGAAUCCUCCAGCCUGAUGCCUUACCCGUGGAUUUGGGACUUGCCGGCCUCCGCAAUGGCGUGAGCCAUUUCCUUGAAAUAAACCUCUAUAUCUCUAUAUUUAUAAGGAGCCCUGGUGGCACAGUCGUGAAGCACUUGGCUACUAACCAAAACAUCGGUGGUUUGAACCUACUACCCACUCCGCGGAAGGAAGAUGUGGCCAUCUGCUUCUGUAAAGAUUUACAGCCUUGGAAACCCUAUGUGUGGGGCAGUUCUACUCUAUCCUGUAGGGUCGCUAUGAGUCAAAAUCAACUUGGUGGCAGUAGGUUUGGUUUAUAUAUAUAUAUGUGUGUGUGUAUGUGUGUGUGUGUGUGUGUGUAUAUAUAUAUAUAUAUAUAUAUAAAUACGCUUCACUGGUUUUGAUACUCUAGAGAACCCAGCCUAAGACAGCAUGUAAAAGACAUUUUCUCCCUUCAGGGUGAGAAGUGACCCAGGAAAAAACCAGAAAGUGAAACUAACUUGACUCCUCAGUGUUGAUCCCGGCCUUGGAGCUCUCUUUGCCGUCCUGCGUUGGCCCAGGCCCUGUGUGCCCAGUGCAACCCCUCCCGGAUAUGAUAUUUGCCAGAUGGGUAGCACAUGUCCUGUGGAGGUCUGGAGAGAAUACCAGAGAGAUGCCUGUGUCCUCUCCACCAGGAGUUGUGGCUUACCAACACGUCUACCAGGUGGCAGGCUACGUGCCUGCAGGGUGCUGAGGUUCCCAGGUGGCAGUUCCCUGAUUCCUCCAUGUCCCCUCCGUGCUGGGGCGGUCAGAACCCUGACUAAAUAUAGCCCUGGAGCUCACGGCAGCUUUCAGUUAAUUGGGAUGGUUUGCUUGGCCCCCACGGGCCUGACUGGACCCUUCUUCCAGCCAUUCUCAGCUGGGAGGGAGGCCUGCUGCCGUGCAAGCCCCCGCACAGCCACCCCCUCUUGCUUUCUUACCCCACGACCGUUCCGUGUGGUCCCUUCAGAGCAGUUUUCCACAACUCUUGUCAGGCAGGCUGAAAGCAUUUCCCAAUCGCACAGUUAAAAUCGCUCCCAGAAAUCUGCCCAGUGCUGGGGUUAGGUAGAGAUCACCAGGGAGCCGCUUUCCCAAUUUGGGGUUUAGAAAUCUCAGGCAAUGAGGAAAUUUGGGGUAGUCAUUCACAGGAGUACUCUGUUAAGAAAGAGGGUAUGACAUUUCAGAAUGCCGAAACCGUGUUGCAUUAAAAAAGGGGAAAAUCCAUUUUAAUUCCAGGACAUCUGGUGGGAGUUAUCUCUGAAAUAUCUUUUCUGUUCUUGUAGAACUGUGCAUUUCAUAGGGAAUGGUUUAUCUGUUCGUAAAUAAUGUGUAUUACAAUGUUCCUUCAUUAUCACUACUGUUUUAAGAUUCGAGGUGGGUUUUUUUUUUUUGAACAUUAUACUUUAGGCUUUCUGGGUAUAUUUUAUACUUUGGGGAAGAAGUGCUUUUAAAUUAUAUAUAUAUAUGUAUAUGUAUUUUGCUUCUCCCCAAAGGAAUAUAAUUAGAACAUCUGAAGCAGAUUAUCCAAUUAGUAAUUUUAAAAAAUUAAUUGUUAGGAAUUUGUGAGGAGAUAAAAAUUAUUUUAAAUUUCCAAAUGUAACUGGCCACAAGGAGGCUCCGAGGAAGUAGACAAGGGAAAAAUAACAGGUUUCUAAGUUUCCCUUCUUUUCAUUCAACGGCUCCCCUCAAAAACUCAGCGCAUCUGACUCCCAGCCAGCAACAGUGACCAGAAAGCUGUUUGUCUUGCCCUGCGUAAAUAGUAUUAGAAAAAUUAUUCUUUUUUUUCAUAAAUGAGUUUAUUCAUUUAUAUCUGUUUUUCUUUUCCCCUGACAGUGAAGUGGAAACCCUGGUGGCGUAGUGGUUAAGAGCAACGGCUGCUAACCAAAAGUUUGGCAGUUCGAAUCCACCAAGCGCUCCUUGGAAACCCUGUGGGGCAGUUCUGUCCUGUCCUUUAGGGUUGCUAUGAGUCGGAAUGGGCUUGAUGGCAAUGGGUUUGGUUUUUCUUUUUUUUUGACAGUGACGUAGCCAUGAAGAUGUGUCUGUUUUCAGCAAUAAUGUUAGUAGGUAUUCUUUGGGGGGGAAUUGUGGUGAUGUGAAUUGACUGAGUACAUAUUCACUGCGUGCCUUGUGUGUGCUUUCAUUGUGCCAGUUGGCAACAAGGGCAGUCUAGCAGGGGUGGGGUGACGUCCAGGACCCAGAGAAUGAAGUUGAGACCCGGCUCUUGCCAUUUGUGGCUUUUGGUAGUAUAGGCCUGUAAUCUUUUAUCCGAAAUUCUGAACUCCCAAAACUGUGAAAAUUAGAAGUCGUUUUAGUAACUAAUUUAGUGAGAAAAUCUGACCCAACCUGACUUGAGACUAUUAAUAGUCUAUAUUUAUCCUGGAGGGUGUGAAUAUUCAUGGAUUCCACUGUGGAGAUAUUAUAGUAGAUAUUAAUGUGUUUGAUUACGGGUGCUGCCCUGCUGGGGUGUUGUUGCAUAAUACGUGGUGUACCUCCUAGAAUGUGAAAAAUUCUGACUUCUGGAAACACAUAAGGCCUGGAGGUUUGGGGAAGCGAUUGCAGACCUGUAGUAUCAUCAGCUUAAUAAAUGGCAACAGCAGCUACAUGCCCAGAGACAGGGGCAGAGACCUGUUGCUUCUUCAGUUAGAGGAGGACCCUGUGGGUUGAAUGAGGGUUCAGCUGAUAGAUGGACAGGAUAUCCAAACAGCUGUAUGCCCACUGGGGCAGGGGAUUUGACUGCCUCUGGCCCUCAGAGCCCUCCCCUCUGCAGGCCUUUAACUCCAUGAAGGUUCAACAGGUUUUCCUCACUAUUGUAUCUUCAGUGUCCAGCUCUGCACUUGGCAUGUAUGAAAUGCUGAGUAAAUAUUGGUCAAUAGCAGAGGUCGGCAAGCUUUUUCCGUAAAGGGGCAAACAGUAAAUAUUUUAGGUUUUAUAGACCAUAGGAUAUCUAUUGUAACUCUUCUGCUUUGCCAAAGCAGCCAUAGAUAAUAUGUAAAUAAAUGAGCAUACCUGUGUUCUAAUAAAACUUUAUUUACAAAAAUGAGCUGUGGGCUAGAGAUUGCUGACCCCUUGCCAAAAUAAUCAAUGCAUCUUGAACGUAGACUCUUCCUCCUCUGUACUUUUAGCCCUGCUGCUGCUCUGCCUGUCUUGUUUCCCGUCUCCUUUAAAGAGAUAAAAGUUGUAGCUCUGACGCCAGCACCCACCCCUUGCUUUGACUCCUCCGGAUGGCCUGGAAGCAUGGAUGAAAGGAAGGUGCUGCCCUUCCCUGGACUGGCUUCUUUAGUGGAAACGUGUAUAUUUUGUGUGGACAAAUGCAUUUGGGCACAGGUCCAACCUUGCCGAGGGGCAUUCAGCCCUCUACCCACUGAUGAGUUUUGGGGGCUGAGCCAAGCCCCAAGGCCCUGCUGGCCAUCAGAGUCGGGCCAGGCUAUGCUGCCAGGCGACUAUGUCUCGGGAGAGUUUGCCAGUACAUGGGGGGAGCUGAGGGGCUGAACGUGAGUAUUUAGAGCCAAUGUGUUCUUAGCUAAAGAAUUUCUGGCAGGGAAAGUUUGGUUAUCAUAAACCCAGGGGCUCUGAUGGAUGAGUUUCAGGUCUUCUGGCUUCGUUCAUCCCAGCCCAGAACAUCCAGCAAGGGUUGGUCUGCCCAGUGAGUCCAAGAAGACUUACUGCAGCAGAGGCUCAAUCCCACCGAGCUUUCUGGCUCUACCUCCACAGUGGGCCGGCCUGGGCAGACAGGGUGGAGUGGCUGGAAGGAGGGCAGGACCCUGCAGAGACCACUCCCCUAAGCUGUGUGCAGAGAGUGCCACCAUGCCUGCGCCUGGCCCCAACCCAGCUCUCUGCCAGGACCCCUGACUCAAAGCCUGGCUUUUCCAGACCCUUCAGGCCAGGCCCCAGCAUCCCAGGAAGGCAGUGGGUUCCUGUCUGGGCUUAGGGGGCUCUCUCUGCAGAAGAGCCCCUCCACCAAGACCUUUUGGGAUCGUUGCUCUCUGCCUGGAUCCCCCUCCCCCCUGGCCAGGGUGGGGCUGGUGCAUAGCUUUCUUUCUAAAGCAAAAUGCAAACGAGCUAAUAUCUGGUUGGCUUUUCUUUUCCAUCUGUCGUGGCUUGUGGGUAGCUGGCUAUUUUGGGGACUUGGGUUGUUCAUGGUAUAACCUCACUUUACAGCUCCCUUAUAAGUCUCAGUGGCUUAUCAGGUCCCGGUGGAAGGGGCACCCCUUUGGUCACUGAUAUGUACCCAACCCAGGCUGAGGGCCUGGUGUGUUUGGUGAUGAGUUAGCUCUGCUGACAAAGCCAAGCCCAGAUGGGUCACCUUCACUUACCUAGGACAGCAUGGGGAUCCUCCGGCCACUGCCAGGGGUAGCCCUCUGUCCCCACCUCCCUGUCAUUGAGCACCUGUGCCUGGGUCAGACAUUAUAGGUAUCAUGGUGAAUAAGACAGCCUGGCCCAGAGCAGUCGUUCUCAAACUUGACCGUUCCUGAGAAUCGCGUGGGAAGCCUGUUAGCAAUGCAGAUCCCCAGGCCCCUUGGUAGUUCUGGAGAGGGGGAGGCAAACCUGCGUUGGUAAUAAGUGUCCCCUGUGGUUCUGAUGUGGGUGGUUCCAGGAGCAGCCUCUGGCAGGGUGGGCCAGCACAGAGUGAUGAGUGUCGGGACAGGAAGGAACAGGGAGAAGGGGCUCUAACCCAGGGAGGAGUUGUCCAGAGGAGGUGAGCUGAGUCUUGAAGAACCAAGGAGGCAAUAAUAAUAGUAGCUAAACUUGAUUGAACACUUUGUGCCAGGCACGGUUCUAAGCCCUUUACAUGAAUGAACCCAUUCAAUCCUCACAACCACCCCAUAGAGUGGAUACUGUUAUCCCAACCUCACAGAGGAGCAAACUGAAGCACAGAGGGGUUCAGUAGCUUGCCCAAGAUGAUGUGGUUAGGAAGCAACGGUCUGGGUUCAAACCCAGGCAGUUUUGCCCCACAGCCUGCCUCUUCCUUACAAAGUUCCGUGGCAUUAGGGGUAAGGGCAUGCCAGGCAGGGGGUCAGCACACGGAAAGUCUAGGCAGACUGGGAGGGCUGGGGCUUAGCAUGCAAGCAUAAUGCUGUCACUUUGUCUUCAUGGUCCAGGUGAUUCUGCUCCUAGUAUAUAGGACAGCCUGCGGCUGGUGGAGUAGGUGGCUGUGAUCUUGGUUGGGGCAGAAAGCUCCCAGAGAGAGGACAUGUACUGUAAUGACAGUCCGAGAGGGCUGGGGAGCCGUAACGACAGUCCGAGAGGGCUGGGGAGCUGCAGAGGUGGGCUUCCAGGCCCUCUUCCUUUCAGUCUUGAACAAAGAUGGGCCGUGGGGCGUGGGUGAGGAGGUGGAAUGUUUGUGUUGUGAGGCACAGGGAGCAGGGAGGCCUAUGUCCUGACACUCUGUUCCAGGCCCUUGUCUAAGAAGGGAAGAAUUCUCCAUGGCCUGAGUCCCUGGAGACUCCCAGGGAGCCAGACAGAGCCUCUGCCCUUGGGGUCUGAGAGAAGGCUACUUGGAGAGGGGAAUAUGCUUUGGUUAGGAGCCUACUCACAGGCCCUUAGCGCGUGGUAUGCUAAAUACUUUGUAUGCUUUUACUUUAACCCUCAUAUCACCCUGCAAAGUAAGGUCUUAUUAUUCGUAUUUACAGAUGUGAAACCUGAGGCCCAGAGAGGCAGAGUAGUUUGUACAUGGUCACACAGUGAGUAAGAAAUAGUGGAGCCAGGUUAGUCCUCUGGGGGGUUGUGCAUUCACCACAGUGGGGGCCACCCGUGCUGUGAGAGGCUGUGUUUUCUGCACCAGCCCACCGAAGAGUGGGUUCUCUGCCAGGCUGGGUAGGGCAUGUUCCCAGCAGCCAGCUGGGCAGAUUCCAGCCAUGCUGGGCCCUGGGUGGAGUGGCCUGACUUCUGGGGAGGAGUUUCCCGCCAAUGGAUGGCAUUCCACAGAUGGGUGGCAUUUCGUGCCGUGGGUCUCGGAGGAGGACCACAUUCCCUGGAGUCAGAAAGGCUUGGGGUCUGUGGGGAGUGGCCUGCUGGGGGCGUCUGUGGUCUAGUAAGCGUCUGCCCCCGCUGGAGGCUCGGCCAGGCCAGGCUGUACUGCCUACCCGGAGACAGAAGGGGUCAUCCCAUUGGGAAAGGAAGACCCUAGACAAGACUUUGAUUCUGGAAACCCUUUUCAUCUUCCCAUAAUUGUCUCUGGGCAGAUUGAGUGCUGGCAAGUUCUAGGAAGGGAGUGAGCUGAGGAAAAAAAGUCAGUUGCCAGCUGUCUUCGUUAUCUAGUGUUGCUAUAACAGAAAUACUACAAGCGGAUGGCUUUAACAAACAAAUUUAUUUUCUCACAGUUUAGGAGGCUAGAAGUCUGAAUUCAGGGUUCAGGCUCUAGGAGAAGGCUUUCUUUCCCGGCUCUGGAGGAAGGUCCUUGUCUUUUUGAGCAUCUGCUCCUGGGCAGUCUUUAUGUGGCUUGACAUCUCUUCCCCCCUUCCCUUUACUCUUUUGCUUAUUUAAUCUCUUAUAUCUCAAAUGUGAUUGUCUCAAGACACACCCAACACUAAUCCUGUCUCAUUAACAUAACAAAGACAACCCAUUCCCAAACAGGGUUAUAACCACAGGCAUAAAAUAGAGGUUAGUAAAUUAGUAAACACGGAUUUUUGGGGGACACAAUUCAAUCCAGAACACUGGCCCUUCUUCCUUCUUGUUGGUCACUUUCUGACCAUGCCCCCACCCACCUUCAGUUUCUCCCAGCCUGUGCUUUCCAGCAGAGCCUGUCAGCUCCUUGAUUGGAAUGCAGAAACAUCCCAGGGCAUUCCAAAAGCCUUUGCUCAUGUCUUUGUUGCACACAAUAGGUUAUUUUUGUAGAUGGGGUGUGAGGUGGACUUGCCUUCCUACUUGGCCCAAAGGAACCUGUUGCCUUUUGUCCAGCUCACCUGGGCUAAGGUGAGAAAGGGGGAACUGGGCAGGACUGAGAUUUGAGAUCCAGUUCCCCUAGGUGGGCUCUUCCUGAUGGGUUUGCAGCCUCUUGCCUCUCUCUAGGGACAGUGGGUGUGUGGCCUUCAGCUUUUCAGGAAGAGCCCUUUAGAUGUGUAUGGCAUGGCUGAAAUUCUCUCAUUUCCUCCUUUGCUCUUCUUUUGAAAUGGGAGAGAUGGUGGUGGCAGCAUAGCUCCUUCUAGGCUCAUUUGAUAGAGUAACCGCUGGAGAGAAGUAGAACCAGAACAGGGCUUUGAACUGGUUCUGAAUGGUUCAGUCAUGGCUGGAGGAAACAAGGGCAGCAUAGGUGUUGCAUAGCAACCAGAUCUCUUGCACAUGGGCUUUUGACCUGUGUAGGAAACAGAGAGCAGUGCCCUGCUCAAAGAUAGCAGUCUGCCACGCCACUUUGAAUGUGUGUCCUGUCAGUAAUCCACUCUACUGCAUCAGGAAACUUUCAGGAGCCUGAUACGGGAGGCUGGAUUAUUGGCGGGACUGUGGAGAGUGACACACAUUUAAAGCAGAGCAGUCAGCCACCAUCUUUGAGCAGGAUGCAGCUGUCUGUUUCAUACUCUCUUCAGAAGCCAACUUGCAAGAGAUUUGGUUUCUAUGCAGUGUGUAUGCUGCCCUUGUUUCCAUCGGCCAUGACUGAACCACUUCCAACUGGUUUGAACCCCUGCCUUGUUUCCGUCAGUGCUGACUGAACUGCUUAGAACCGGUUCAAAGCCCUGAACUAGAGCUCAGGUUCCUUCUUGAGAGUUCAGGCAUCCGAAUUUGUUCUUUAUGAGGCUAGGGAAGGUAAGGCAACCCUUUCCCUAGGUCUUGCGGUACCUCCUGGUGUUUUCUUCUCUGCUUGAAGCGAGGCCGGUGGUGAGGGGGCUUAGUCUCUCCACAGUGGGUCCACGUACCACAUGUGAAGACGAGGGCCAGUUGACCCUUCUCCCAGUUCUUGCCACAUCCCAGAGCACUCACCCACUUGGAAUUCCACCAGGAUUCUAGUCCACGGCUCCCUGUGGGUGGAAGACACUGGGUUCUGAGUUGGCUGUGGGUGGAACAGAGGCUGGUUGUUCCUGGGCGUGCCAUGGGGGCAGUGAGGAUGGCUACUGCUGCACUCUGGGGGGAAUUGUGCCAGUGUGGAGACCCUGCAGCCAACCCCACCCACCACAGAGCUUCCUGUGGGCUGUGGGGAGGUGGGGUAGGGUGAGGUGAGGGGGCAGCAUCUCCACCUCAGCUCACCUGGGACAACUGGUCGACCACUUAACCACCUGGAGAGUUCAAAGACAGCAAGAAAAAUGAGGGACUUUCAGGGGCAGCUGUGUUUUCUGACUCAGUCAUAAUGCCCCUAAAAAUCCUUAUUGUUCUUGCAGUGUGCAUCGGACAUGGCCACCAACCUGCCCUCUCCCACCGCUGGGAGGGGAAGGGCCCUCUGGGGUCAGAUUGGAAUGUACCCCACCAAAUGAGAGUGAAUGGGGACUUGCUGAUUAUUAAAGCAAUUUUAUGAUCAACACAUUGACUUGCAAACAUUUGUGCAGUCUGUGUUUCGGUGGAGGAUUGGGGUGGAGGAGGGUGGGCACUGAGGUGCAGGCAGGGGCCCAGGAGAGUACGGGGUCUCCCUGGUUGGUGUGUGGUUGAAGUUUAAAAACCCCAGCUGCAUGCAUGUGCAGUGCCCAAGGAAGGUCGUCCUGGGGUCUGUCAGGCUAAGGCAACAGUGUUGGGCUGAACGGCAUGCCCAGCCUUUACUGAGAACUUGGACCCUUCUAGGGGCCAGAGGGGAGAAGGCACCUGGGCAGCAACUUGCCUUGUGUUUUAAAACAGGAAGCCCCAGAGUCCACUCAGAAAUCACCCAGUGCUCUGGGCAUUUUCAAAAUCCUUUUGCAGUGGUUUGAAGGCCUUUUCCCUCUGCUGUGACCCUGGAGUUUGCUUUUGUCUCAGCUGGAUGGUCUUCAUCCCUAUUUCACUUCGUGGGCCUUCUCCAUUCUCAGCAGGUGAUCCCACCCCAACCAUCUCCAGCUCCACCCCACAGAUACUUUGAGCCAAGGCUUUAUCUUGGGGGUAGAUUUGGGAUUCCUCGAGGAUUGUCAAAAAGCAGAAAUACCUUUUAAAACAGCAACCCAUCUGUGACAUGCUCCGCUUACCCAAAAACACCGAGCCACAAGAAUGCCACCAAAUCCCAAAGCAACAGAAUUUUCCUCUCUAAUCAAGGCUGGGCAGGCGGCUGGCCCAUGGAUGGACAGACAGGUGGACAAACUCUACUUGCUCCGCCUGGUCUAUUGUGUCUUGCCAACCUCACAAGUCAGUAGGGGAAAUUUAUCCCCAGGGUAUUUCUAAGGUUUCCAGGUGCUGAUUCACAGGCUCUCAUUGCGCAAGAAGGUGGCCGCCGGGUGCUUGACGUCUGUGAGACCCUGACUUCCUCGGUCAUUCUUCCUAGCUGGCCUAGCCCCUGGCGCCCCUGAGCUCUGGCCCAUCCUGUUGGUCCAGUCGUGCCUCAACACCAGCUCUCCCAGAGAUGGUUUUUAAGGAGCCUUAGCGAGAAGGGACGCUUCUCCAAGGUAAAGUUUAAACAGGGAUGGUAUUUUCCCUUCUUGGUAAGAGGUGGGUGAGGCUCUAGUUAAAUGGAGAUUCUCAAAAUCUACAGUGGACAAAUGGUAAUGAACGUACAAUGGCCAAAGGGUGACGGAAGAGGGUUCUUCCCUCAUUGACUGCAUUUGCUGAUUUCAGGUCAACUGUCCCUUCCCCUGAGCACCUUUUGCCUUGCCCUUGUGUCCCCCCAAACCUUCCUCCUUGUCCCUGAGUAUGUUCCUCAUUCUUCCCCACAGAACCUUUGUAAGACAAUAAACUGAUUGUAAGACAAAAAACUGAUGACUGUUUUUCCCCCAUUAUGGAAGAAUUGCCUUCCACUCUAGAAAAUUGGGAAAAUACAAAAGGAUGACAUGAAAGAAAAAAAAAAAAAGUCUGCUAAUGAAGUGCAUCCUCCCAGCUCUUUCUUCCCUGUACAUGGACUCCCCCACCCGGUUAGCAGGAUUGGGGCUUUUAACAGGAGCCGGGCUCAUAACCCAUUUGAGCAGGUGUCCAGGUACCCUUGGGAACCAGAAAGCCUUUUUAUUUUUUUUCUUUUUGCCAAGUGGGGUGUGCUGUGCACCACUGCUCACCUCCAGCCAGGAAGCUCAGAGGUCUUGUUGGAUUGAUUUUGGGGUGGCCUAUCGCAUUGCUUUUCAACCCUGGUCGCGUAUAAGAGUCAUCUUGGAAGUGGUUAAAAGAAAACAAAACAAAAUUCCUGGGCCCCACCCAAAAUCAAGUAGAAUUGAAUUGCAGGGGGCGGGGAGAGCACCCAAGGAUUGGUGUCUUUACUUCUGGGUUGUUUUUUUUUUUUUUUUGGUUUGUUUCUCAGGUGAUUCUCAUGAGCAGCCAGAGGUGAAUACUGGGUGCCUGUCCGGGACGGUGCUCUGAGUAGAAUCGACUUUUAUGGCAAUGAGUUUGGCUUUGGUCUUGGUUUUGUUAGGGAUGGAAGAGAUUCCCUUCCGCUCUGCCUUUUCAGCCUGACCAGGGAGAUGUGACCAUUUACCGUUGGCAGAUUUCUUUCCCUCCAUUAUUUUUCUGCUGCUCAGAGCCAUCUUUUGAGAUUCUUACGACCUUUGUUUUACAGACAGGGAAACAGGCUAAGGAGGUCAGGGGACUUCAUCUGAAAACACAAAGCUGAGAUAUGGCAGAGCUGGGGUUUACGUGCACACCUUCUGCCUCCCAAGGAUAGAACUCUGUGUGGUGACUAGUGUGGAGAAGACACUCAGUGGUGGUGACACUGCUCAAGAAAUUCAGUUUGAGUCUCAACAUGGCAGAUGGUGCCUUCUCUCCUUGGUCCUAUCAGGAUGACCUCCCCUGUCAGCCUUCACUCUGAACCUCAUGGUUUUUCCUGCCCUGGCUGGAUCCUGUUGGGAUGGUGCUUCUGGACUGUAGUCCUGAGGUCCUGGACAUGCCCCAUUGGUCGUCCCUUUGCCCUAGAUUUCCUCUCUCAUCAUCACUGUCCAGGGCUAGGGCCCACGGAGGCAUCCUUUCCCUCUGCUGUGUUCAUCCAACAAGUUCAGACGCCGUCAGCUUCAAGGUGUUGCCACUGGGCCUGGGCCAGAGGAGCUGCUGCAGAGCCCCUCCCUCCCCGCCAGCCUCCUGAGGAGCGGAUGGCUCAGCACAGGCAGGAAGGGCUUUCCGUUUGGCUUGGCUGGUGGGGAGGUGAUUAGUGCUCACUUUCUAUUUUGACACUUGUAUCUAACUGACAGGCAGAACCUGAGACUGCGCAGCAAGCAGCUGUAGGCCUUGAAUGAGUAGGCCUGUCCCUGAUGGCCUGGGUACUGCAGGGUUGUCUGGAGGUAGGAAAUGGGUGGUAACACCACUCCCUGAGCAUGUGUGGAGAUGCAGCCAUCUCUCGGCUUUCCCUCCCCAGCACCAUGGCCCUUUCUUCUAAUGCCUCUAUUUUCUUCAGGGGACCACCCCUCCUCACCCUGUAUCCCUGGAAUUCAGGUGGGGCUAAGCCCAGCCCCUGGCUCUAGAGGCAGGCAUGUGACCCAGUCCUGGACACUGAGACUCCCCCUGGCACUGUUGCAGGAACUAUGGAGAAAAGGGCAUUUUCUUUGACGUAAGCUUGGGACUACAGGUGGCCAUCCUAGUCUCCACCUGGGCAGAGCCUACCUGAGGACAAAGCCAGCAAACAGGGAAGAAAGCCAAGAGAUGGAGAGAGUGUGCUGUCCAGGUAUCAAUAAGCCCUGCCUCCAGCCAUGCCUGAUACCACUGCACCCCUGACUAUAUGAGCCAAGGCAUUUUUUUUUUUGUCUAAAACCAGCCCGAGUUGGGUUGCAGUCAAAAAAGGGAUUCAAAUAGACAAUAUUUUUCUUUGGUCUCAUCUUUAAUCAACUUUAGUGAUGCACAAUAAAAUCUACCUUUUUUUAA
This is a long non-coding RNA of Loxodonta africana (African savanna elephant), 16615 nucleotides long. RefSeq lists it as uncharacterized. The record is from RefSeq and is a predicted model, not a curated record. NCBI's taxonomy places the organism in Eukaryota, Metazoa, Chordata, Mammalia, Proboscidea, Elephantidae. The transcript has 2 exons.